CCUCCUCCCCCCUCGUCUUCUCUCUUCGUCUCAUGCCAUUACUUUUCUUUUUCUCGAUGAUUUGAGAUUAUCUUUUUCUUUUCUUUCUUUCUCUCUGUCGUUGCCGAGUUUACUUCGUAUUCCCGCGUUUCGUCUGUGGCGCAGCAAUAACACGUUUCGCUUUGGCUCUUUCGGUGUUAGCUGCUGCCGCCGCUAUCUCGUACGCACAG
Molecule: long non-coding RNA, 209 nt
Filed under: Oryza brachyantha (malo sina)
Lineage: Eukaryota; Viridiplantae; Streptophyta; Magnoliopsida; Poales; Poaceae
Description: long non-coding RNA (OBRA_LNC001273)
Source: RNAcentral